GACGAACGCUGGCGGCGUGCUUAACACAUGCAAGUCGAGCGGUAAGGCCCUUUCGGGGGUACACGAGCGGCGAACGGGUGAGUAACACGUGGGUGACCUGCCCUCAGCUCUGGGAUAAGCCUGGGAAACUGGGUCUAAUACCGGAUAUGACUCCAUGACGCAUGUUGUGGGGUGGAAAGCCUUGUGCGGCUGAGGAUGGGCCCGCGGCCUAUCAGCUUGUUGGUGGGGUGA
Molecule: ribosomal RNA, 231 nt
Filed under: uncultured bacterium
Lineage: Bacteria
Description: partial 16S ribosomal RNA
Rfam family: Bacterial small subunit ribosomal RNA
Source: RNAcentral